UAGUCCACGCCCUAAACGAUGUUAACUCGAUGUUUGGCCCUUGCGGUUGAGCAUCCAAGCGAAAGCGUUAAGUUAACCACCUGGGGAGUACGUCGGCAACGAUGAAACUCAAAGAAAUUGACGGGGACCCGCACAAGCGGUGGAGUAUGUGGCUUAAUUCGAUGCAACGCGAAGAACCUUACCUGGGCUUGACAUGCCGUCGCAGAUCCUGAAAGGGAUUGUCAGUUCGGCUGGACGUGCACAGGUGCUGCAUGGCUGUCGUCAGUUCGUGUCGUGAGAUGUUCGGUUAAGUCCGGCAACGAGCGCAACCCCUAUUGUUAGUUGCCAGCGAGUAAUGUCGGGGACUCUAACGAGACUGCCCGCGUAAGCGGAGAGGAAGGUGGGGACGACGUCAAAUCAUCAUGGCCUUUAUGCCUAGGGCUACACACGUGCUACAAUGGCAGGUACAAAGGGUUGCGAAGAGGUGACCUGGAGCUAAUCUCAGAAAGCCUGUCCCAGUUCGGAUUGG
This 508-nucleotide ribosomal RNA is filed under the name uncultured bacterium. RNAcentral's name for it is "bacterial SSU rRNA". It matches the Rfam family "Bacterial small subunit ribosomal RNA", at positions 791 to 1301 of the family's 1533-position model. The record is from RNAcentral.